This 256-nucleotide ribosomal RNA is filed under the name uncultured bacterium. RNAcentral describes it as "partial 16S ribosomal RNA". It matches the Rfam family "Bacterial small subunit ribosomal RNA", at positions 524 to 776 of the family's 1533-position model. The record is from RNAcentral.
UACGUAGGGGGGCAAGCGUUGUCCGGAUUUAUUGGGCGUAAAGAGCGUGUAGGCGGCCAGGUAGGUCAGCUGUGAAAACUCGAGGCUCAACCUCGAGACGCCGGUUGAAACCAUCUGGGCUAGAGUCCGGAAGAGGAGAGUGGAAUUCCUGGUGUAGCGGUGAAAUGCGCAGACUAUCAGGAAGAACACCCGUGGCUAAGGCGGCUCUCUAGUACGGUACUGACGCUGAGACGCGAAAGCGUGGGGAGCGAACAGG